GACGAACGCUGGCGGCGUGCUUAACACAUGCAAGUCGAACGGAAAGGCCUCUUUCGGGGGGUACUCGAGUGGCGAGCGGGUGAGUAACACGUGAGUAACCUGCCCUUGACUUUGGGAUAACUUCAGGAAACUGGGGCUAAUACCGGAUAGGAGCUCCUGCUGCAUGGUGGGGGUUGGAAAGUUUCGGCGGUUGGGGAUGGACUCGCGGCUUAUCAGCUUGUUGGUGGGGUAGUGGCUUACCAAGGCUUUGACGGGUAGCCGGCCUGAGAGGGUGACCGGCCACAUUGGGACUGAGAUACGGCCCAGACUCCUACGGGAGGCAGCGGUGGGGAAUAUUGCACAAUGGGUGGAAGCCUGAUGCAGCAACGCCGUGUGCGGGAUGACGGCCUUCGGGUUGUAAACCGCUUUCGCUCAUGACGAAGCUUUGUGUGACGGUAGUGGGUAAAGAAGCACCGGCUAACUACGUG
RNAcentral lists this ribosomal RNA (467 nucleotides) under uncultured bacterium. RNAcentral's name for it is "partial 16S ribosomal RNA". It matches the Rfam family "Bacterial small subunit ribosomal RNA", at positions 28 to 507 of the family's 1533-position model. The record is from RNAcentral.